GAUGAACGCUGGCGGCGUGCCUAAUACAUGCAAGUCGAGCGAACAGACGAGGAGCUUGCUCCUCUGACGUUAGCGGCGGACGGGUGAGUAACACGUGGAUAACCUACCUAUAAGACUGGGAUAACUUCGGGAAACCGGAGCUAAUACCGGAUAAUAUAUUGAACCGCAUGGUUCAAUAGUGAAAGACGGUUUUGCUGUCACUUAUAGAUGGAUCCGCGCCGCAUUGCUAGUUGGUAAGGUAACGGCUUACCAAGGCAACGAUGCGUAGCCGACCUGAGAGGGUGAUCGGCCACACUGGAACUGAGACACGGUCCAGACUCCUACGGGAGGCAGCAGUAGGGAAUCUUCCGCAAUGGGCGAAAGCCUGACGGAGCAACGCCGCGUGAGUGAUGAAGGUCUUCGGAUCGUAAAACUCUGUUAUUAGGGAAGAACAAAUGUGUAAGUAACUAUGCACGUCUUGACGGUACCUAAUCAGAAAGCCACGGCUAACUACGUG
RNAcentral lists this ribosomal RNA (496 nucleotides) under uncultured bacterium. RNAcentral's name for it is "partial 16S ribosomal RNA". It matches the Rfam family "Bacterial small subunit ribosomal RNA", at positions 28 to 507 of the family's 1533-position model. The record is from RNAcentral.